UACGAAGGGGGCUAGCGUUGCUCGGAAUGACUGGGCGUAAAGGGCGCGUAGGCGGCUUGCACCGUCAGAUGUAAAAUUCCUGGGCUUAACCUGGGGGCUGCAUUUGAUACGUGUGGGCUUGAGUGCGGAAGAGGGUCGUGGAAUUCCCAGUGUAGAGGUGAAAUUCGUAGAUAUUCGCAAGAACACCAGUGGCGAAGGCGGCUCACUGGCCCGAUACUGACGCUGAGGUGCGAAAGCGUGGGGAGCAAACAGGG
This 254-nucleotide ribosomal RNA is filed under the name uncultured bacterium. RNAcentral describes it as "partial 16S ribosomal RNA". It matches the Rfam family "Bacterial small subunit ribosomal RNA", at positions 524 to 777 of the family's 1533-position model. The record is from RNAcentral.